This 272-nucleotide ribosomal RNA is filed under the name uncultured bacterium. Its description in RNAcentral is "partial 16S ribosomal RNA". It matches the Rfam family "Bacterial small subunit ribosomal RNA", at positions 524 to 790 of the family's 1533-position model. The record is from RNAcentral.
UACAGAGGUCCCAAGCGUUUGUUCGGAUUCACUGGGCGGUAAAGGGUGCGUAGGCGGUCGGGUAAGUCUGAUGUGAAUCUCUGGGCUCAACCCAGAAAUGGCAUUGGAUACUAUUCGGCUUGAGGUCUGGAGGGGGACUGGAAUUGCUCGGUGUAGCAGUGAAAUGCGUAGAUAAUCGAGAGGAACACCAGUGGCGAAGGCGAGUCCCUGGACAGAUCCUGACGCUGAGGCAACGAAGGUCAGGGGAGCAAACGGGAUUAGAGUAACCCUGG